RNAcentral lists this transfer RNA (361 nucleotides) under uncultured Microcystis sp. RNAcentral describes it as "partial 16S-23S ribosomal RNA intergenic spacer". The stretch from base 136 to 209 matches the Rfam family "tRNA". Lineage: Bacteria; Bacillati; Cyanobacteriota; Cyanophyceae; Chroococcales; Microcystaceae. The record is from RNAcentral.
AAAGGGAGACCUAAUUCAGGUAGGAGACGAAAAAAAAGUAGUCGCUACCAAGAAUCAAUCCCAAAAGGUCGGAGCGAGGCGAAAUUGGCUUUCAAACUAGGUUCUGGGUUCAAACAAGACCUGAAUCAGGAACAAGGGCUAUUAGCUCAGGUGGUUAGAGCGCACCCCUGAUAAGGGUGAGGUCCCUGGUUCGAGUCCAGGAUGGCCCACCUGCACAGGUGGCAAAAACAAAGAAGCGAGGAAUCAGCACCUUAUCUUAUAUACAUAUAUAAGAGAGAAUGCUGGCUCUGAGUACAGAGUCCAGAGGAACCUUGAAAACUGCAUAGAGCUAGGUGAAAAAGCCAAAAAAGAAGACCGCAAG